CCCUUAGAUGUUCGGGGCCGCACGCGCGCUACACUGAAAGGAUCAGCUGGUAAGUUGCUCCUGGCUUGGAAACGUCGGGCAACCCGUUGAACCUCCUUCGUGCUUGGGAUUGGGGCUUGCAAUUAUUCCCCAUGAACGAGGAAUUCCCAGUAGGCGCGAGUCAUCAGCUCGCGUCGAUUACGUCCCUGCCCUUUGUACACACCGCCCGUCGCUCCUACCGAUUGGGUGUGCUGGUGAAAUGUUCGGAUCGGCCGUUUGUCGCGGUUUCCGCGUCAUGUGGCUGAGAAGUUCAUUAAACCCUCCCACCUAGAGGAAGGAGAAGUCGUAACA
Molecule: ribosomal RNA, 330 nt
Filed under: uncultured eukaryote
Lineage: Eukaryota
Description: partial 18S ribosomal RNA
Rfam family: Eukaryotic small subunit ribosomal RNA
Source: RNAcentral